UCCCUGGCGGUCCAGUGGUUAGGACUCGGCACUUUUAUUGCCAGGGGCCCAGGUUCAACCCCUGGUCAGGGAA
Non-coding RNA from Balaenoptera musculus (blue whale), 73 nucleotides. Lineage: Eukaryota; Metazoa; Chordata; Mammalia; Artiodactyla; Balaenopteridae. The record is from the annotation of a RefSeq genome assembly.